UGUUUCUGUGCAACAGUAGGUAGGUCCAGGGUUAGGUUCCUGUGCAACAGUAGGUAGGUCCAGGGUUAGGUUCCUGUGCAACAGUAGGUAGGUCCAGGGUUAGGUUCCUGUGCAACAGUAGGUAGAUCCAGGGUUGUGUUUCUGUGCAACGGUAGGUAGGUCCAGGGUUGUGUUUCUGUGCAACAGUAGGUAGGUCCAGGGUUGUGUUUCUGUGCAACAGUAGGUAGGUCCAGGGUUGUGUUUCUGUGCAACAGUAGGUAGGUCCAGGGUUGUGUUUCUGUGCAACAGUAGGUAGGUCCAGGGUUGUGUUUCUGUGCAACAGUAGGUAGGUACACACAACACAUGGUUUUUCAAUAUGCUUCAGAAAAACUA
This is a long non-coding RNA of Oncorhynchus tshawytscha (Chinook salmon), 372 nucleotides long. Lineage: Eukaryota; Metazoa; Chordata; Actinopteri; Salmoniformes; Salmonidae. The record is from Ensembl.